GCAGUGGUGGUUCAGUGGCAGAAUUAUCACCUUCCAUGCAGGAGACCUGGGUUUGAUUCCCGGCCAGUGCA
RNAcentral lists this transfer RNA (71 nucleotides) under Loxodonta africana (African savanna elephant). It matches the Rfam family "tRNA". From Rfam's summary of the family: Transfer RNA (tRNA) molecules are approximately 80 nucleotides in length. Lineage: Eukaryota; Metazoa; Chordata; Mammalia; Proboscidea; Elephantidae. The record is from Rfam by way of RNAcentral.